CUCAGGCCAAGAAGCUCUCUUCUUCCUCUUCCGCCAUGGUUUCCAGCAGAGUGAGAGAGGAGAAGGCCAAGCAGUCAGAGGAGUCUCUGAGGACUGUCAUGUACUUGAGCUGCUGGGGACCCAACUGAAGAAGAAGAUAUGAAGAUGGAUGAUCAUCAGCCUGCUCUUGAAGCAUCCAGGGAGGGCAUAUUCCAAGAAAGUAACGGAAAAUUGAGAUGAAGAAACUGCAGUGAAGCAAUUUCAUGGAAUUUUUGCUUGGAGACUCACGAAUUACAACCAAUUGCUCAGGGUUGGGAAAAUUGGAAUUGGCGUAAAUUGUGACUGGGUCUUUGUAAAACCCACAUCAUUUAGCUAGAAAAGCUUUGAAAAUACAUUUUAAUUUAAUUUAUAAUUUCUAUGUUAGAAUAUUAGACCCAAUUCCUAAAAAGCUUGUCAGCCUUGUAUAUAUGGCUAAGCAGGUCAACUUCCCAAGCUCAAGCGCAUUAAGAAAUUCUCAAACCUACCUUUUUUUUAUAGGAUUUUUGGGAAGUUUUACAGCAAUUGAAAACAAAUCUUAAAAGGGUCGGGAAAUUAUUUGAAAAAAUAUGGCAGAUUUGGUCACAUAGGGGAUAAAGAGGUGAUAAAGUUGGUACAACGCCCAAAAUUAAACUCUCAAUUAAUUUAAUUGAACAAAUAAUCAUAAAAGAGAUUUUUUUAAUUUAUGAUUUUUAUUUUUUUAUUUAUACUUUUUGAAAAAGAAAAUUCCAGUGAAAUAUGUUCGUGUAGACUGUGUGGCAGGAUGCAGACUAAACAAAGAAAUUGACACGUGCUUGAAGUCCGGCCCUACACAUAGCCCCAUUGGAAAACAGCGGUUUCAUCCUCCGUACUCUUUGGGCGUUAAGUGGGUUCACAAACCAAACAAUGGGCUGCCCCAACACAGCAACACUUAGACUGAGGACAAACUAUGUAGGUGAAUACCCAAUUAUACCCACAUGAAUCAGUGGUCAAUCUUUCAAAUAUAAGGACAGAGUAGUCAUUCCAAUUCAAAUCAAACAAAGUUAUGAGAACUGCUGGCCACAGCCUCUGGUUUCCCCAAAACUUUGGGCACUAUUCCUCAAAGAAUCAAGUGGGCUAGAGUUAAUAACUUCGUCCACCAUGGUUAGAUUACUGGGGGCUAGAGUUAAUAACUUCAUCCACCAUGGUUAGAUUAUUGGUAUCUCGAUGGGAGAAGUUGUUUUGACGGUAAAACAUUGUAUUUUAUUAUUUUGUAAAUUUUAUCAUCACUCAUAUAUAUUAUUUUUUAUUUAAAAUUAAAUAAAAAAUUAAAAUUCUUAGAAAAUGCGAAACAAAAGUAUAUCACAACUUAUAUUAAUUAAACGUCUUUAUUUUCUAUUCUAAAAUUAAAAAACAAAAUUAAAAUUAUCAAGAAAAAAGUACAUUCCAACUUACAUUAAUCAAGGGAUGAUAUACUGUACAAAUAAAAAAUAAUAAAAAUAAUUAAAGGUUAAAUAAAUCGCUUAAUAAAUUGAUAGUAUGGGUUGAUGGUUUCAUUAUAAGACCAUAACAAGGAUUUUCUUUUUCUUUUUCUUUUUAAAUGCAUUUCACGGUGGUGUAGAAUUUUUUUGUAUAAGGGUUUUUAAAUUAUAAUAUUGAUUAUAUAUAUAGGUGUGUUUUGUCCUAAAUUCCGAUUUCCAAGUUUCCAACAUUAUAUAAAAAUCCCUAAAAUCAUCUACUUCGUAAGUUUUCUAACAUUAUAUAAAAAGCCCUGAAUUCACUUAUUAGGAAAAUGCUAUUUGGUGCACUACCAUCACCAUGACCUCAACCUCGUGUAAAGAUAUCAAGUGGUUACUAAUAAUAAAAAAUAAAUAAUAAAAACAAAAUGUAUUCAUUAUUAUUAUUAUUAUUAUUUUGUACUUUUACCAUCCAUUGUUCACAUCUUAGCAUAUGGUAGAAAAGAUGAUAAAUGAUUAUUUAUGUCAUAAUUUUUAAGUGAAGUGAUCAAAAUAUUUAAAGAAAAAAUUAAUAAUUGAUGAAUAAUUUUUGGUAAAUUUAUAAAUUUGUAAUAAAUAUUAAUAAAUGAUAAACAAAGUAGUUUUUAAAGCGGUUGUAGUAGUUAAACAUUAUAUCUCAUUAUGAUUUUCCACCUUCAAAACUUAAUAAUAAAAUUUCAUAACAAAUUUUUAUCUAUUUAAAACUUUUGAAAUGUGAAAUCUUUUCUUGGACAUCUUUAUAUAUACAUUUGUGAAUUUUCUCUUUAUUUGCUAUUUAUAAAAUUAAAGGAUAAAGUUAAAAUGUUAAAAAUAAAAGAGAAGUAUAUCCCAACUUACAUCAAUUAAGAGAAGAUAUAUUAAGCACAUGAAGAAUGCAAAAAAAAAUUAAUGAUAAAAUAAAUCACUUAUUAGUUAGUAUUUAAUGAUUUACAUUAUUAGAUUGUAGCGAUGAGUUAUAUUUUUAUUUUUGUGUAUAGGUGAUUUUAAAUUAUAAUAUUUUUUAUUUUAUUUUUGAGUUAGUUUUCUUUGUUGAUACAUAGGUUUUUUUUUUUUUUUUUGUCUUGGAUAUUGUGUUAUCUACAGUUUUAAAAGAAAUAAAAAUUAUUUAUCCCACAUUGAUUCAAAACUAAAAAUAUUAUAUAUAUAUUUGUUAAAACUUUGAUACCCUUAAAAAAUACAAGUACAACCAAUAAGCAGGCAUAGGGAUGGCAACGGGGUAGGUAUGGGACGGGCCACCCCUACCCCAUUUCCAUCCCGGUUAUAUAUUUUUUUUUCCAUCCCCGUCCCAAACCCAGGGCGGGGCGAGUUGGUGUCUCCUAUGCCCAUUUACAAAAGAGCUGAUAAUCUCAUCCCCAUCCCAAAUGUAUUUUCGGGAAUUAUGCUUUUACAGAACAUGGGUCUCUGAAAUUUCAAUAAACGUUAUAUGGGUUAUCAUAAACACAUUUAAUCAAGCAUUUGUUGUGCAACAAAACUGCAAACUGCACACAUGAGAACAAAAUGCACAGAUCUACAAAUAAACAACCCAAAAAAUCUCAAAUCCAUCAACCAAACCAGAAAAUAUGAAAAACAAGACAUUUCUAACAAAGCCUCAAAACUUAGGGUUUUCUUACCUGGAAAUGAGGAAUCCAUAGAAACCCUAAUAAUUUGUUGUCUACGAAUUUGGUAUUUUGGUUUUCAAAGCAAAAAAUGUGCUUUUAGGGUGAAACGGGAAGAAACAAUUUAGGAAUAAAUGAGAAAACGAGAAGAAAUGAGAAAACAAAAGCCCUAUUACGAGCAAAAGAACCCUGAGCAAUUUAGGAAGAAAUGAGAAAACGGGAAGAAAUGAGAAAACAAAAAGCCUCUUACGAGCAAAAGAAUCCUAAGCAAUUUAGGAAGAAAUGAGAAAACUAGAAGAAAUGAGAAUGAAAGCCCUCUGAGAGCGAAAACCCUCUAAGAGUGAAAGCCCUCUGACUCUCUCACGAGUGAAAUAACCCUAAAAUUUGAGGAAGAAAUGAUUAUAUAUGGAGGACUUUUUGGGUAUUUUGUAAUGACAUAAGGGUAAAUCGGUAAUUCACAUACGGGAUGGGGCGGAAACUGCAAAACCCAUCCCUGCCCUGAACCCGAUUUGGGUUUUUAUAUAUUCCCCAAACCCGUUCUAUACCCGAAUAAAAUAUUCCCAUACCCGUCCCAAUAGGGGCGGGUGACCCGAAUUACUCGGAAAAUUACCAUUCCUAAGCAAGCAUUGAGCUAAAUCCUAAUCUCACAUUCUUGCUCGAAACUUUACACUCAAAUAAAAACAAUUCACCACUUGACUCGAGGGACUAUUCCGUAACUUCUCACUACCAACAACCAGGCACUAUUCGACCUCUCGCUCGCUUAUAAAUUCACUCCCUACUUGCAUAUUCAAAGCGUAUCUCACUACCAUUCUACUCUACUAUUCUACUUUUCGCGGUUUCAUAUCUCACUACUAUUCGCGUGUUCAAAGUGUGCAUAUUCAAAGUGUAUCCCUCCUUGAAUUAAUUGUGAAUUAAUUUAGGCUUCAAAGUGUGUUGCUCUACAAUAUCCUUCCUAGUCAGGCUUCAAAGUAAGAGCAACAACAUCUACAAUAUCUACCAUGGCCACACAACCAAGGUAUGCGGUAUGCCGCCUUUUCUCAUGUCCUUUUCCCAUUUUGUUCCCUCUUUUCAUCUCCAUUUUGUUUUCAAUAUUCUCUUACCUUACUCAUAUUCUCUAAAAUUAGAUAAAAUUAUUAAUUUGAUCAUAUUUAUCUAACAUUUUUAAUUAGUACUACUAGUAUCUUAUUUUCAUAAAUCUAAUUGAAUUUUCUACUUAUUUAUUUAUUGUUUUCAUGACAGAACUUCACCAGCUUUCAUAUCUUUCCUUACAAUUUUGAGUUCAGUUGUCCUUGCGAAGUACCAAUAUGAGAAUGUUUCCCCAUUUUCCCAACACAACAUAGGUAUGCAAAUCUCCUUAUUUGCAUCAUUUAUAUAUUUCAUGAUGGUUGUGGUUUAUGAAAUCCUUGAUUCUGAUGGAACUGUCAAAGUUGAAGAAGAUGGAAGAUAUCUCCUUAUUUUGGGCCUGUUCGGUUCUUAAGUGGAACAGCAGCUGCAACUUUGUUGAUCCUGAUCUUGAUCCCAUAUCUUGGAUGGUUCCUUUUGGUCAUGUAGACCAUGUUCUUAGUGAAAAUAGCAUGCUAUUGGGAUAAAACAUUUUAUAACUUUGACAUGUUCAAGAAUAAAAAAAAAUGCCAAUGAUAGGGAAGGAAGACAAGAGGAGCAGCGACGCCAAGUUUAGAGUAGGUUUGGUCCAACAGAGGUUAUUAGCAAAAAACAUAUUUUCUUCUUGUACUUUCGAAAGUGUUAUAUAAGUGUUAUAUUUUGAGUAAUGAGAGUAUUUUUUUCCUUUUUUCUUUUUCUCUAAUACAUUAUUGGUGAUUAUUCUUCAUCGGAAUACCCACAAGGUUAUUAGAUGUUUAAUUGCAAAUAUGGUUUUAUAUGAUAGCAUUAUGAUUGAACUAAUAAAACAUAUUUUUUUGCAUAUUGUUUAGCUGGACUUCCCAACUACCUCUGGGUAAUAUCCUUUUAACAUAGGAAGUAUAAACUAAUAGCAAGUGCUAAUCUUUCCCAUUCUUACACAAGAAAGAACUAAGGAAAAAGGUAUACUUAGAAGUUGCAUUUCUAUGUUCCCAAACAAUAGAAAAUUCAAUAUAUGGCACUUCACUCUCUACUUUUCUUUCCCACCUUUUCUCAUAACCCAAAUAUGCUCACCUCUCAUUCCAAGAUCCAACCAAAAUUGAAAAACAAUUACAAAAAUCCUAGUAGAAGAGACAGAUCAUACUACAAUUACACUUUCUUACAAGAAAUUGAAGUGCAAAAGGAAUAACAAUUGAGUGAAACAAAUAAAACCAACCCCCUUUACCACACCUACUAAUGAAAUACUUGCAGAGACACUUUAAAUUUCUCCAGACUCCAAGAGAUACUGAUCAACAGCCUCGACACCUGCAGUGAUGAGACCAACACUUGAUACGAUAUAAUGCACAAACUCGACACGGAAUUGGUAAGACUUGGUUAGAUUACAGAAAAAUUUUCAAACAUUAUAUUUUUCUUUCCAAUCACAACAAAACAUCAAAAUAUUUUCAAAAAUAAAAAUUAGAGAUUCCCUCUUCAAAAGAAGACACCCAUGAUUCUGAAAUUGGAGCUUUUAACCCAGAAGAUCAAAGAAGACAAAGAAGAAAAAACCCAACCCCUAACCCAUUCGGAAAUAAGAGGAGAAACCAUCAAAGAAUGAGGGCAUGAGUUAGGAUUUACUUACCUGAUUUUCCUAAAAAUCGAGAAUCACCAAAGGUGGAGGUUUGGUGUCGGCGGUGGUAACUCGUCAAGUGGACUGAAUCUUACAAUGACGACGUCGGCUAGGCAACCCCCUCACAGUCAGAUUGCUCUCCCUCCGGGGUCUUGCAUAGUUGCAAAUUUGCAAUUGCAGGUGGUGUCAUCUAUCGGCGGUCUUGACAGCAACGGUGGUGUGCGAGGUGUGGGAGAUUGGGAGUCCAAAUUGGUAAAGUAACAAAUGCAUUUUAUAUGGAUUUACGUUGAUGAUAUGAGAUAGGAUUUGAUGGUAACAUAUUAAAUUAAAUUAAACGAUUGAGUCCAAAAUGAUACGGAUGGUAUGAGAUGGGAUUUAAUGAAAAAUUAAAUGUAUUUAUAUGGAAAAUUGAGAAUUAAAUCCCCAAUUCUUAGUAUUAUUAUAAAUAGGUGAAAAAAUUUUGUUUUAUUAAAUUUUUAAGCUUAUUUAAUUUCUAUAUAUUUUUUUAUAUAUAAUUUACAUAACAUUUUUAUAAUUUUUUGAAAAUUUUAAUUAUCUUAUUUUGCGUAUUGCUUGAUAUUGAAUCAAAAUGUCGAGACCAACAUAUCUCGGGAUCAUUUGAGUCAAUGAUCGAUAUCACAACUUUGAACCAUGCUCGUCUCCAAUCCCUCAACAAUGAUGAAAAAUGAGGGCAACACAAUUACCUUUUUUAUUAUUAUCAGUUCAAAAUAAUACGUGUAUUAUAAUAUAAUUUUUAAAAAAUAUUUUACAAAAAAAUAUAUGUGGACCCCGCAUUUAGGCUCAUGCACUUCCACUCGAUGGCGAGCUCGAUUUUAUUUUGAAAAUGAUUUUAUUUAUUAGAAAAUGACUUGGAGUCGCUACUUAUUUUUGUUUUAUUUUUAAAGGGUAAACAAAAUAAGAAAGAAAACCCUAAGUGUGACUCCUUAUUUUGGAAAAGGUGGUCUGUGAAAAAUGGGAUCGAGUUCGGGGGCUAGGUUACUUAUCGGGAAGGUACGGUAAAGACCGUAGCACCCCUUUAACUCCCCAAAGUCGGGUCUUUACUAAUAAAAUGAAGUUGACGCGACAAUCAAUAAUAAAAACAAUGAAUAUCGACAUGAUCACAUAUUGAAAACCAAAACAUAUAAGGAUGAUGGUUAGAGUGAGAAAAAAUGCGUACCUAAUCAGCAAGCGGCAACGCGCUAUCAUAAAAUGAGGUUAGUGCACAAAUAAUGGACAUAAAACAUAGCUCACAUGCCACUGAAUCGAGUACAAAAUCAUCAGAUAUCACAAUUAAGUCAAAUUUAUUUUUCGAGGAAACAAUCAUUGAUGUUGGGCCUCCACCAAAACCCAAUUUAUUCCUGCAUGAAUUAAUUCCGUAAAUUCCAUCACUUGGAAUUAUAGAAUUUAAUUCACACUUAUUUUUAAAACGUUUUAGAAUUCAUGGAAGUUAUGGAAAUCCAUGCCGAAGAAAAUGACAACAAAAUUUUAUUAAAAAUGUGAUUUUUGGGACUUGAAAGCUCUAAGAAUGAAGAAUCUGGAAAAUAAUGCGAAAAAAAUGAGAUUUGGAAAAAAAUAUUUUUUUAAACCAAGAAUGGUGAAAAUGAGAAGAGAAAAAAAAAGUGACACGUGGCAUAAGGGUGGCCAUGCACCAUUUCAAACAAAUCUAACCCCACUUGCUUUUAUUUGAUCCUGAUCUUGAUCCCAUAUUUUGGAUGGUUCCUUCUGGUCAUGUGGACUUCUUAGUGAAAAUAGCAUGCUAUUGGGAUAAAACAUUUUAUAACUUUGACAUGUUUAAGAAUAAAAAAAAUGUCAAUGAUAGGGAAGGAGGACAAGAGGUGUAGCGACGCCAAGUUUAGAGUAGGUUUAGUCCAAUAGAGGUUAUUAGCAAAAAAACAUAUUUUCUUCUUGUACUUUUGAAAGUGUUCUAUUUUGAAUAAUGAGAGUAUUUUUUUUCCUUUUUUUUUUCUCUAAUACAUUAUUGGUGAAUAAGUGUUCUAUUUUGAAUAAUGAGAGUAUUUUUUUUCCUUUUUUUUUUUUCUCUAAUACAUUAUUGGUGAAUAAGUGUUCUAUUUUGAAUAAUGAGAGUAUUUUUUUUUCUUUUUUUUUUCUCUAAUACAUUAUUGGUGAUUAUUCUUCGCGGAAAUACCCACAAGGCUAUUAGAUGUUUCAUUGCAAAUAUGGUUUUACAUGAUAGCAUUACGAUUGAACUAAUAAAACAUAUUUUCUACAUAUUGUUUAGCUGGACCUCCCAACUACCUCUGGAUAAUAUCCUCUUAACAUAGGAAGUAUAAACUAAUAGCAAGUGCUAAUCUUUCCCAUUCUUACACAAGAAAGAACCAAGGAAAAGGUAUACUUAGAAGUUGCAUUUUUAUGUUCCUAAACAAUAGAAAAUUCAAUAUAUGGCACUUCACUCUCUACUUUUCUUUCCCACCUUUUCUCAUAACCCAAAUAUGCUCACCUCUCAUUCCAAGAUCCAACCAAAAUUGAAAAACAAUUACUAUUACAAUUACACUUUCUUUCAAGAAAUUGAAGUGUAGAAGGUAUAAUAAUUGAGUGAAACAAAUAAAAACCAACCUCCUUUAACACACCUGCUAAUGAAAUACUUGUAGAAACACUUUAAAUUUCUCCAGACUCCAAGAGAUACUGAUCAACAGCCUCGGCACCUACAGCAAUGAGACCAACACCUGAUACGAUAUAAUGCACAAACUUGGCAUGGAAUCGGUAAGACUCGGUUAGAUUAUAGAAAAAUUUUCAAACAUUCUCUUUUUCUUUCCAAUCAUAAUAAAACAUCAUAAUAUUUUCAAAAAUAAAAAUCAGAGAUUCCUCUUUCAAAAGCAAACACCCAUGAUUCUGAAAUUGGAGCUUUCAACCCAGAAGAUCAAAGAAGACGAAGAAGAAAAAACCCAACCCUUAACUCGUUCGGAAAUCAGAGGAGAAACCACCGAAGGAUGAGGGCAAGAUUUAGGAUUUACUUACCGAUUUUCCUAAAAAUCAAGAAUCAUCAGAGGGUGGAGGUUUGGUGUCGGCGGUGGUAACUCGUCAAGUGGACUGAAUCUUACAACGGCGAGGUCGGCUAGGCAACCCCCUCACAGUCAGAUUGCUCCCCCUCUAGGGUCUUGCAUAGUUGCAAAUUUGCAAUUGCAGGUGGUGUCAUCUAUCGGCGGUCUUGACAACAACGGUGGUGUGCGAGGUGUGGGAGAUUGGGAGCCCAAAUUGGUAAAGUAAAAAAUGCAUUUUAUAUGGAUUUACAUUGAUGAUAUGAGAUAGGAUUUGAUGGUAACAUAUUAAAUUAAAUUAAAUGAUUGAGUCCAAAAUGAUAUGGAUGGUAUGAGAUGGGAUUUAAUGAAAAAUUAAAUGUAUUUAUAUGACAGAUUAAGAAUUAAAUCCCCAAUUCUUAGUAUUAUUAUAAAUAGGUGAAAUUUUUUUGUUUUAUUAAAAUUUUAAGCUUAUUUAAUUUCUAUAUAUAAUUUACGUAAUAUUUUUAUAAUUUUUUGAAAUUUCUAAUUAUCUUAUUUUGCGUAUUACUUGAUACCGAAUCAAGAUGUCAAGACCAGCAUAUCUCGGGAUCAUCUGAAUCAAUGAUCGAUAUCGCGACAUUGAACCAUACUCAUCUCCAAUCCCUCAAUAGUGAUGAAAAAUGAGGCCAACGCAGUUGCCUUUUUUAUUAUUAUAAGUUAAAAAUAGUCAUGUAUUAUAAUAUAAUUUUAAAAAAAUAUUUUUACAAAAAAAAUACAAUAAAGAAAAUUUUAAAUAAAAGAGUUUACAAUAACUUUCUAUAUUAAUAAAUUAAUAAUGAAUCUAUAUCCAUGUAUUAUCGAGAAUAAAUAAGUUUAUAUUUAUAUAUUUUUAUUAUAAAUUUAUAUUGACACAUAUCCUUGAUUUCCCUCAAGGUUUUAUUUUUAAUUGAUUACAAAGCAUUAGUACUUGUUUAAUAAAAAAUGUAUUAAAUAAAUAUUAAUAUUAUAUAAAUAAAUAAAAGUUGAAUUUGAAUAAAACUUAUAUAUAUAUAUCAUAUUCAACAUGAAUAUGAAUCUAUUAUUAAAGAUACAUGGUAAUAAGUGUUAAUAUUAUAUAAUCAAAUGAGAGAGUACAAAAAUGUUCUAUUAUUAUAAUAAUAAGAUAUUUAAUAUCAUGCAAAUAAAUAAAAGUCACCAUAAAUUUAAAUUUGAAUUUAUAUUUUUAAACCCUUCAAAUUUUUAUUUUUAUUUUUAAAUUUUAAGAAUUUUUUCUCCACUUCAAAUAGCAAUAAUAGUGUUUAUUCAUACUAGUUAUACUUAAAAUUGAUGAAAAUUAUGAAAAAAAAAAAAGAAAUAAAAACCCAUACCCUUCAAAUUUGCAUUUGUUUUAAUUUUAAGAUUUUUUUUCUCUACUUCAAGUAAUAAUAAUAAUAAUGUUUAUUCAUACUAAUAACAAUAAAAUUAAUGAAAAUGAUGAAAAAUAAAAAAUAAAUAGUAAAAACUUCAAAUUUGUAAUAAUAAUAAUGUUUAUUCAUACUAAUAAACAAUUCUUCAUAAUCAUAACCUACUAAUUUCCAACAAUUAUAAUUGAAAUUAUUUUGAAUAAACAAUGUAAUUUGUAUUUGAAGUUGAAAAAAAUUGUGAAAAUUAAAUGGGAAGGGUAGGGUUUUAAUUUUAUUUUAUUUUUUUUACUUUUUACCUCAUAAAUUUUUUAUUUUUUUAUUUUUAUUUAUUUAUGAAUUCUAAGUGAAAUUAUUAUGAAUCAACAAUUUUAUUGAUAUUUAAAGUUAAAAAAAAUCUAUGAAUUUUAAAUAAAUUUUGGAAGGUAUUUGUAAUGGGGUAUUUUUAUUUGCACUUUCCUAUUAUGUUGAAACAUUGUUUGGUUUCAAAAUUGUUUAUUCAAAAUAAUUUCAAUUAUUAUUAUUGGAAAUUAGGAGGUUAUGAUUAUGAAGAAUUGUUUAUUAGUAUGAAUAAACAUUAUUAUUAUUAUUAUUAUUAUUAUUAUUAUUAUUUGAAGUAGAGAAAAAAUUCAUAAUGCAUAGGGAGAUCACAGAUUCUAUGGAUUCAACAAUUGAUAAGCCUACUUGUUUAUAUUAUUGUCCUUAACCAGCUAUCCCAUUUUUUAAUUUACUUUUGGUGCAUUUAGUUUGUAACUUAUCUUAUGUUUUACUUAUUUUCAAUUUUUUAAGGUUUAGAUAGUUUUUUUUUUCUAAAAAAAAAAAAAAACCUCUUUUGAGCCAUAACUUGAUUCUCUUGCUAUUCUUAUUUUUAACCAUUUUUUCAAUGAGAAAUUAGGUCUUUUGGCGGAAUUGUGGGAAGUGGAUUGAAUCGGGAAAUUUAUUUGGUCCAGAUUGUGUUUCACUAGAGUCCUAAGAGAUGCAGCUAAGUGAGCUUAUAAUAAAAAGGUAGGCAUGUAAACGAACCAUGCUAGUCCGGGCCAUUCUUAGCUUGGCCUAGUGGGCCUUCAAAAUUGCUCCAACAUGAAUUUCAACGUGAACUUCAGUUUUUAAAAUUAAUAAUUAUACAUUUGUUUUAACUAUUUAUAACAAAUAUUAUCUUUGAAAAGUAAAUUUCAAUUAAUUUUUAUAUUUAAAUAAAAAUUAUUAUUAUUUUAAUUAUUUGUAUCCAAAUCAUACCCGAUAUAUUUGAUUUAUCUUACAAUGUUUCAACAUAAUAGGAAAGUGCAAAUAAAAAUACCCCAUUACAAAUACCUUCCAAAAUUUAUUUAAAAUUCACAUAUAUAUAUAUAUAUAUAUAUAUAUAUAUAUAUAUGAAUUUUAAAUAUCAAUAAAAUUGUUGAUUCAUAAUAAUUUCACUUAGAAUUCAUAAAAAAAAUAUGAGGAAAAAAAAUUAAAAUAAAAAAUUUUAAGAUCCCUACCCUUCCCAUUUAAUUUUAACAAUUUUUUUUUCUGAGCAUUGAUUUGUUGAUCGGUUAUUAAGGGCCACUCAUUUGCUUUGUUGGAUCUAACUCUCUGUAUGCAUGCUCUGUUUUGGCUUUGUUUUUUUUUUUUUUUUUUUAUCUUUGCUUUCUCUUGUAAAUAUCUGAUGCAUUGUUCCUUCUCUGAACUUGAGAUAUAAAAAUCAUGCUCUUGUUCCUUGUGGAUUCCACCUUCUCCUAGCUCUUUGACAAUCCAUGAAAUAGAGCUAAGUUCAUACUUUAUUUUUAUGUUUUUAUUCUUUUUUGUUUGUUGUUGAUGGUGGGAUGAUAUUAUCAAUGGCCAAGUUGCUAGGAUUAGAGGAGUGAGGUUAUGGGGAAGUGAACUUAAUGGAGGAUUUCCGUGAUCAUAUCCAUGCUCCAAUAUAUUGGUUCCCAAUGUUGGCCACGGGACUGUAUUGAAGUUUUGGUAUUUGGGAUCACUUUGCCUUCUGGGUUCAGUAAGCAACACAGUGGCAAUAAAGAUGCUUUGGUGUUAUUAAUUUGGGUGAAUAAGUUGGUUGUAUGAAUUGUGAAAGUUCAGGUUGUGCUUUGAGGAGAGUAUAUCUUGCAUCCUACUAUUUUAAUUAUUAAUUUUGGAUGUUGAAAUAUGAUGUGAUUGCACUUCAUAUGCAUCAUAGUUGUGUGAAGAAAAAGAAAGAUUAAAGAACUGGUUGUGUGAAAUGGAAAUAAGAAUGGAAAAACCUUGGAGAUGGCAAAAAUGAAAAGAAAAGAAAAAAAAAAAAAAUGCAAUGACCCUAGAGAGAGCGAAUUAAGAAGGGAGUGAAAUCCCUAGGGUGAAAGACCCAAAAGUUUACUUCGGGAAGACUUCGAAUGAGGAGUAUAUUUAGGUACAGACGUGUAUCCUUUGGUGAAAGCCCGAGAAUGACAGUGCAUUGUGUGAUUGUGAGAUUGUGUGUAAGCAUUUGCAUCAUAAUUGCAUUUGGAAGAAGGAUUUGUAUUAUUUAUCAAGUGUAUAUUUGAAUAUAUUAUUCAAAACUAAAAUGACUUGUUUAUUUUGUAAAUUUAGAAUUGUUAAUAUACUAAACAUGAUUGAAUAAGGAAAAUGAUAAUUUUGAUUGUUUUAAAUUUGUAUGGUUAGGGUUUCUUUCAGUGUAUAUAUUGUAAAUGUAAUAUUAUAUCUUGGCAUAUGGUUGUGUUAUUGACCUAGAAUUUCUAACCUAUUUGGGUGUAAAACAUCCUACUGAGCAACGUGGAAAUGCUCACCCUUUUAUUUUUUAAAAUUUUUAGAUGUAAAUAUAGUUUUAGAGGGACCACAAAAAGUUCAAGAAGCGUUUUAGAAAGCAAAAGAACCAUAAUAAGAGUUGUUUUUAAAUUUAUAUUUCUCUUCUUAUACGUACCAAUUUGAGUUAUAUGGGCUUUUGUAUGUUAAAUUAUAUUUGUUAGGUUGUAAAAUAUUUUUGGAAAUAUCCUUUUUGAUUUAGAGAUUAUUGUAAAUAUUUGUGUUUUUGGGCAGGAAGAUGACUAAUGGAUUUAUUAUACUUGUGAAUAAGAGAUAAUGUGAUGGUUGGUUUUAAAAAAAUAAAAUAAUAUGUUAUAAUAAAUCUUAGUUUAAUAAGUUUAUUUAAGAUUACACGUUUUACUAUAAAAAAAAUAAAAAAUUUCAAAGUGUUUUGAUUGAUUGACAACGUAGAUAAGAAUUACCCGGAUCAAACUCUUGACCUGGGCCAACUAUGUUGGUGAAUACCCAAUUAUACCCACAUGAAUCAGCCGUCAAUCUUACAAAUCCAAGGGCAAAGUAGUCAUUCCAAUUCAAACCAAAAAAAGCCAUGAUUCAUGAAAACUGCUGGCCACAGCUCCUGGUUUUUGCCAAACUUUGGGCACCAAAUCCAAACCCAUCUCUUUGCUAUAUAACCAACCCACCUUCACUUCUUCAUCACAACACAACUACCUUGAUUUACAGAGAGAUCUUCUAUAUCCAUUCACUACUCAGAAUCACCUCUUUUUUUUGUUGAUUGUUGUUUGGGUUUUGGAGAAAGAAAAUUAAGAAGAUGAGUCAUAUGGGGAAAGCUUGGAUAGUGGCAGCAAGUGUGGGAGCAGUGGAGGCACUCAAGGAUCAGGGCUUCUGCAGAUGGAACUACACUCUGAGGUCUAUUCACCAGCAUGCCAAGACCAACCUCAGGUCCUUUACUCAGGCCAAGAAGCUCUCUUCUUCCUCUUCUGCCAUGGUUUCCAGUAGAGUGAGAGACGAGAAGGCCAAGCAGUCAGAGGAGUCUCUGAGGACUGUCAUGUACUUGAGCUGCUGGGGACCCAACUGAAGAAGAAGAUAUGAAGAUGGAUGAUCAUCAGCCUGCUCUUGAAGCAACCAGGGAGGGCAUAUUCCAAGAAACUUAUGGAAAAUUGAGAUGAAGAAACUGCAGUGAAGCAAUUUUCUUGGAAUUUUUGCUUGGAGACUCACGAAUUACAACCAAUUGCUCAGGGUUGGGAAAAUUGGAAUUGCUGUGAAUUGUGACUGGGUCUUUGUAAAACCCACAUCAUUUAGCUAGAAAAGCUUUGAAAAUACAUUUUUAUUUAAUUUAUAAUUUCUAUGUUAGAAUAUUAGACCUGAUUCCUAAAAAGCUUAUCAGCCUUGUAUUAGACCCAAGCUCAAGCGCAUUAAGAAAAAAUAUGGCAGAUUUUGUCAUAUAGGGGAUAAAGAGGUGAUAAAGUAGAUACAACUCCCAAAAUUAAACUCUCAAUUAAUUUAAUUGAACAAAUAAUCAUAAAAGAGAUUUUUUAAAUUUAUGAUUUUAUUUUUUAAUUUAUACUAUUUGAAAAAGAAAAUUUCAGUGAAAUAUGUUCGUGUAGACUGUGUGGUAGGGUGCAGACUAAACAAAGAAAUGGACACGUGCUUGAAAUCCGGCCCUACACAUUGGCCCUUUGGAAAACAGCGGUUUCAUCCUCCGUACUUUUUGGGCGUUAAGUGGGUUCACAAACCAAACAAUGGGCUGCUAACACUUACACUGAGGACAAGCUAUGUAGGUGAAUACCCAAUUAUAAUACCCACAUGAAUCAGUGGUCAAUCUUACAAAUCUAAGGACAAAGUAGUCAUUCCAAUUCAAACCAAACAAAGAUAUGAAAACUGCUGGCUACAGCCUCUGGUUUUCCCCAAAACUUUGGGCACCAAACCCAUACCCAUCUCUUGCUAUAUAACCAACCCACCUUCAGUUCAUCUUCCUCAUAACAACACAAAACACUUGAUUUAUAGAGAGAUCUUCAAUAUACCAUUCACUACUCAGAAUCAGUUCUUUUACUGUUGAUUUCUGUUUGAGUUUUGGAGAAAGAAAAUUAAGAAGAUGAGUUAUAUGGGGAAAGCUUGGAUAGUGACAGCGAGUGUGGGAGCAGUGGAGGCACUCAAGGACCAGGGCUUCUGCAGAUGGAACUAUGCUAUGAGGUCUAUUCACCAGCACGCCAGGAACAAGCUCAGGUCUUGUUCUCAGGCCCAGAAACUCUCUUCUUCCUCUUCCGCCAUGGCUUCUAGCAGAGUGAGAGAGGAGAAGGCCAAGCAGUCAGAGGAGUCUCUGAGGACUGUCAUGUACUUGAGCUGCUGGGGACCCAACUGAGGAAGAAGCUAUAUAUAUAUAUAUAUAUAUGAAGGUUUUGAUCGUCCUACUAGUGAUGAAGACAGUGGAGGGGAGAGAUUGAUUUCAUGGAAUUUUUGUACAAAGACAUAUACAUGAGGGUGGAAUUGCUGUAAAUUGUAUAGUUUAUUGACGAUGGCUCUAUGAAAUA
This 15350-nucleotide long non-coding RNA is filed under the name Vitis vinifera (wine grape). Its description in RNAcentral is "long non-coding RNA (VVIN_LNC003761)". The record is from RNAcentral. Lineage: Eukaryota; Viridiplantae; Streptophyta; Magnoliopsida; Vitales; Vitaceae.